RNAcentral lists this unclassified non-coding RNA (352 nucleotides) under soil metagenome. RNAcentral's name for it is "partial contains 5.8S ribosomal RNA, internal transcribed spacer 2, and large subunit ribosomal RNA". The stretch from base 1 to 120 matches the Rfam family "5.8S ribosomal RNA", at positions 35 to 154 of the family's 154-position model. The record is from RNAcentral.
GAUGAAGAACGUAGCGAAAUGCGAUAAGUAAUGUGAAUUGCAGAAUUCAGUGAAUCAUCGAAUCUUUGAACGCACAUUGCGCCCGCCAGUAUUCUGGCGGGCAUGCCUGUUCGAGCGUCAUUACAACCCUCAGGCCCCCGGGCCUGGCGUUGGGGAUCGGCGGAGCCCCCCGUGGGCACACGCCGUCCCCCAAAUGCAGUGGCGGUCCCGCCGCAGCUUCCAUCGCGUAGUAGCUAACACCUCGCGACUGGAGAGCGGCGCGGCCACGCCGUAAAACACCCAACUCUUCUGAAGUUGACCUCGAAUCAGGUAGGAAUACCCGCUGAACUUAAGCAUAUCAACAAGCGGAGGA